CCUACGGGAGGCAGCAGUGAGGAAUAUUGGUCAAUGGACGAAAGUCUGAACCAGCCAUGCCGCGUGCAGGAAGACGGCCCUAUGAGUUGUCAACUUCUUUUGUACAAGGGUAAAUCUGAUUACGUGUAUUCAGCUGAAAGUACUGUACGAAUAAGGAUCGGCUAACCCCGUGCCCGCAGCCGCGGUAAUACGGAGGAUCCCAGCGUUAUCCGGAUUUAUUUGGUUUAAAGGGUGCGUAGGCGGAUUGAUAAGUUAGAGGUGAAAUGUCCGGGCUCAACUCGGGAACUGCCGCUAAUACUGUUGAUCUAGAGAGUAGAUGCGGUAGGCGGAAUGUAUGGUGUAGCGGUGAAAUGCUUAGAGAGCAUACAGAACACCGAUGGCGAAGGCAGCUUACCAAUCUAUAUCUGACGUUGAGGCACGAAAGCGUGGGGAGCAAACAGGAUUAGAUACCCGAGUAGUC
Molecule: ribosomal RNA, 460 nt
Filed under: uncultured bacterium
Lineage: Bacteria
Description: partial 16S ribosomal RNA
Rfam family: Bacterial small subunit ribosomal RNA
Source: RNAcentral